This 483-nucleotide ribosomal RNA is filed under the name uncultured bacterium. RNAcentral describes it as "bacterial SSU rRNA". It matches the Rfam family "Bacterial small subunit ribosomal RNA", at positions 28 to 507 of the family's 1533-position model. The record is from RNAcentral.
GGUGAACGCUGGCGGCGUGCCUAACACAUGCAAGUCGAGCGGUGCAGUUUGAAGCUUCGGUGGAAAGCUGCAUAGCGGCGGACGGGUGAGGAAAACGUAGGAACGUGCCCCUUGGAGUUGGAUAGCCACGGGAAACUGUGGGUAAACCGACAUAGACUCGAGAGAGUAAAGGCCGAAAGGCGCCAAGGGAGCGGCCUGCGGCCCAUCAGGUAGUUGGUAGUGUAAAGGACUACCAAGCCGACGACGGGUAGCCGGUCUGAGAGGAUGGCCGGCCACAAGGGCACUGAGAGACGGGCCCUACUCCUACGGGAGGCAGCAGUGGGGGAUUUUGGACAAUGGGCGAAAGGGCCUGAUCCAGCGACGCCGCGUGAACGAUGAAUCCCUUCGGGGUGUAAAGUUCUUUUAUAUGUGAGCAGUGCUUCUUAUAUUAACAGUAUGGGGAGAGAGAUAUUAGCAUAUGAAUAAGCAACGGCUAACUCCGUG